RNAcentral lists this long non-coding RNA (247 nucleotides) under Elaeis guineensis (African oil palm). RNAcentral's name for it is "long non-coding RNA (EGUI_LNC076387)". Lineage: Eukaryota; Viridiplantae; Streptophyta; Magnoliopsida; Arecales; Arecaceae. The record is from RNAcentral.
CCGGUAGCAUAGAAAUAUCUUUCUGAACCAAUCGAUGUGACCAUCUAGCAAUGAUGACCCGACAUCCGGAUAGGUCGAAUGAAGGUGAAGCAAUAUUCAAGAACCUAUGGACGUAUGGUUAUCAUAUAAUUCAUCCCUUUGACCCUAAUGCUCGAGGAUGACCUAGGAUUUAACUAUCAAUCCUAGAUAGAUCAUCCACAUUAUAUUUUAAUCUUUUUUAAAUCCAUCACAUGGAUUAUCUGGGCCU